Molecule: non-coding RNA, 53 nt
Organism: Macaca mulatta (Rhesus monkey)
Lineage: Eukaryota; Metazoa; Chordata; Mammalia; Primates; Cercopithecidae
Source: Rfam
UUCUUAGAAUAAGUAUGUCCCCAUGCAACAUUUGGGACAUACUUAUGCUAAAA